GGAUCCAGACUUUGAUUAUGGCUCAGGAUGAACGCUGGCGGCGUGCUUAACACAUGCAAGUCGAACGAUGAGAGGGAGCUUGCUUCCUGGAUUAGUGGCGAACGGGUGAGUAACACGUGAGUAACCUGCCCUUGACUCUGGGAUAAGCACUGGAAACGGUGUCUAAUACCGGAUACGAACUUCAGCCGCAUGGCUAGGAGUUGGAAAGAAUUUCGGUCAAGGAUGGACUCGCGGCCUAUCAGCUAGUUGGUGAGGUAAUGGCCCACCAAGGCGACGACGGGUAGCCGGCCUGAGAGGGUGACCGGCCACACUGGGACUGAGACACGGCCCAGACUCCUACGGGAGGCAGCAGUGGGGAAUAUUGCACAAUGGGCGCAAGCCUGAUGCAGCAACGCCGCGUGAGGGACGACGGCCUUCGGGUUGUAAACCUCUUUUAGUAGGGAAGAAGCGAAAGUGACGGUACCUGCAGAAAAAGCACCGGCUAACUACGUGCCAGCAGCCGCGGUAAUACGUAGGGUGCAAGCGUUAUCCGGAAUUAUUGGGCGUAAAGAGCUCGUAGGCGGUUUGUCGCGUCUGCUGUGAAAACUGGGGGCUCAACCCCCAGCCUGCAGUGGGUACGGGCAGACUAGAGUGCGGUAGGGGAGAUUGGAAUUCCUGGUGUAGCGGUGGAAUGCGCAGAUAUCAGGAGGAACACCAAUGGCGAAGGCAGAUCUCUGGGCCGUAACUGACGCUGAGGAGCGAAAGCAUGGGGAGCGAACAGGAUUAGAUACCCUGGUAGUCCAUGCCGUAAACGUUGGGAACUAGAUGUAGGGUCCAUUCCACGGAUUCUGUGUCGCAGCUAACGCAUUAAGUUCCCCGCCUGGGGAGUACGGCCGCAAGGCUAAAACUCAAAGGAAUUGACGGGGGCCCGCACAAGCGGCGGAGCAUGCGGAUUAAUUCGAUGCAACGCGAAGAACCUUACCAAGGCUUGACAUAUACCGGAAACGGCUGGAAACGGUCGCCCCGCAAGGUCGGUAUACAGGUGGUGCAUGGUUGUCGUCAGCUCGUGUCGUGAGAUGUUGGGUUAAGUCCCGCAACGAGCGCAACCC
Molecule: ribosomal RNA, 1088 nt
Filed under: uncultured bacterium
Lineage: Bacteria
Description: bacterial SSU rRNA
Rfam family: Bacterial small subunit ribosomal RNA
Source: RNAcentral